AUCAAACAACACUAUUAUGUUGCAACGGUCCUGCUGUCGCUUUGUUUGGAAAUAUUUCCGUUGGAGGAGCAAAGAGUAACUGUCAAUAUUGUGUCUAAAAUAAUUAGAUGAACAUGCCCCACUUGAAACGGUGUCUGAACGUUCAGCUAAACAGCAGGAUUCAACCACUUCAGGUGGUGCUCGGUUUGUCGGCUUAGAUUGUGAAGGUGAGGUGAGGAAUAAAAG
Sinocyclocheilus rhinocerous is the source of this 225-nucleotide long non-coding RNA. RefSeq lists it as uncharacterized. The record is from RefSeq and is a predicted model, not a curated record. The transcript has 3 exons. Lineage: Eukaryota; Metazoa; Chordata; Actinopteri; Cypriniformes; Cyprinidae.